RNAcentral lists this ribosomal RNA (31 nucleotides) under Cordyceps militaris. Its description in RNAcentral is "partial 18S ribosomal RNA". Lineage: Eukaryota; Fungi; Ascomycota; Sordariomycetes; Hypocreales; Cordycipitaceae. The record is from RNAcentral.
UCUCCAUUGGUGACCAGCGGAGGGAUCAUUA